AAACAACCAAUAUAAACUUUUUCAAAUCAAAGACUACCUUUAAGGUAGUAUCGGUUCCAAUCGUUCUUAAAAUAUAAAAGACCCAUAAAUUUUUCAGAAAAAAUGAUGAGAAAGACGGGGAGCCCUCUGAGUAACAUUGAUAAAGGACCAAAUUGAAGCUUACUGCCAUUGUUGAAGAGGGAUUUGAGAUUUGAGGUUGUAAACUUUUG
RNAcentral lists this long non-coding RNA (209 nucleotides) under Solanum tuberosum (potato). Its description in RNAcentral is "long non-coding RNA (STUB_LNC001518)". Lineage: Eukaryota; Viridiplantae; Streptophyta; Magnoliopsida; Solanales; Solanaceae. The record is from RNAcentral.